AAUUACCCACUCCCAGCACGGGGAGGUAGUGACGAAAAAUAACGAUACGGGACUCAUCCGAGGCCCCGUAAUCGGAAUGAGUAUACUUUAAAACUUUUCCCGAGGAUCAAUUGGAGGGUAAGUCUGGUGCCAGCAGCCGCGGUAAUUCCAGCUCCAAUAGCGUAUAUUAAAGUUGUUGCGGUUAAAAAGCUCGUAGUCGAAUCUGUGUCCCGUGCCGCUGGUUCAUCGCUCGCGGUGUCCAACUGGCGUGUCUCGCGGGACGUCCUGCCGGUGGGCGCUCGUAUCGUUUCGGCGGUGCGAGGCCCAACUCGUAGCCGUCUCGCGCGGUUGCGAAUCCCAUCGCGGUGCUCUUUAUUGAGUGUCGAGGUGGGCCGGCACGUUUACUUUGAACAAAUUAGAGUGCUUAAAGCAGGCCAAUUUUGCCUGAAUAUUGUGUGCAUGGAAUAAUGGAAUAGGACCUCGGUUCUAUUUUGUUGGUUUUCGGAACCCCGAGGUAAUGAUUAAUAGGAACGGAUGGGGGCAUUCGUAUUGCGACGUUAGAGGUGAAAUUCUUGGAUCGUCGCAAGACGGACAGAAGCGAAAGCAUUUGCCAAAAACGCUUUCAUUGAUCAAGAACGAAAGUUAGAGGUUCGAAGGCGAUCAGAUACCGCCCUAGUUCUAACCAUAAACGAUGCCAGCUAGCGAUCCGCCGACGUUCCUCCGAUGACUCGGCGGGCAGCUUCCGGGAAACCAAAGCUUUUGGGUUCCGGGGGAAGUAUGGUUGCAAAGCUGAAACUUAAAGGAAUUGACGGAAGGGCACCACCAGGAGUGGAGCCUGCGGCUUAAUUUGACUCAACACGGGACACCUCACCAGGCCCGGACACCGGAAGGAUUGACAGAUUGAGAGCUCUUUCUUGAUUCGGUGGGUGGUGGUGCAUGGCCGUU
This 924-nucleotide ribosomal RNA is filed under the name Schistoglossa gemina. RNAcentral describes it as "SSU rRNA". It matches the Rfam family "Eukaryotic small subunit ribosomal RNA", at positions 439 to 1292 of the family's 1831-position model. The record is from RNAcentral. Lineage: Eukaryota; Metazoa; Arthropoda; Insecta; Coleoptera; Staphylinidae.